AUAACAAUUUGUGAUGCUUUAGGGAGCCUAUUGUUUGAUGGUUUAUAGGAGCCGGAUUUGUCUUUUUGACUAAUUUUCAACCUAUUCUUACUUCCAAAACUGUUGCAAUGGCUCUCGUUUUUGUUAAAUUUUUCUCUUUUCUCUUCUUUGGCAUAGUUUAUUUUUAAUAAAUUAUUUCAGGGUGAGAUAGAGAAAGAAUAAUGAGUAUCGUAGAUAAAUCUUCGGUUCCGAAUAGUGUAACUGUUGGUGCUGAGGUAAUCCAUCUUUAAAACCAUCGCCGUUAGAGGUUGCUUCUGAUAUUUUCGGUUAAGCGACCCAUGAAAUGGUGAUGACCUGAGGUAUGGAACAUCU
This 351-nucleotide small nucleolar RNA is filed under the name Saccharomyces cerevisiae (brewer's yeast). It matches the Rfam family "Small nucleolar RNA snR42". RNAcentral also lists the same sequence under 4 other names. The record is from RNAcentral. Lineage: Eukaryota; Fungi; Ascomycota; Saccharomycetes; Saccharomycetales; Saccharomycetaceae.